CGUAUGUAACCUACCUUUAUCAGGGGGAUAGCCUCUCGAAAGAGAGAUUAAGCCCGCAUAAUAUGAAGACACAGCAUUGUGAUUUCAUCAAAUAUUUAUAGGAUAAAGAUGGGCAUGCGGAACAUUAGCUAGUUGGUAAGGUAAUGGCUUACCAAGGCUACGAUGUUUAGGGGAUCUGAGAGGAUGACCCCCCACACUGGUACUGAGACACGGACCAG
RNAcentral lists this ribosomal RNA (218 nucleotides) under uncultured bacterium. RNAcentral describes it as "partial 16S ribosomal RNA". It matches the Rfam family "Bacterial small subunit ribosomal RNA", at positions 116 to 334 of the family's 1533-position model. The record is from RNAcentral.